CCUACGGGGGGCAGCAGUCGAGAAUCAUUCACAAUGGGGGAAACCCUGAUGGUGCGACGCCGCGUGGGGGAAUGAAGGUCUUCGGAUUGUAAACCCCUGUCAUGUGGGAGCAAAUUAAAAAGAUAGUAGCACAAGAGGAAGAGACGGCUAACUCUGUGCCAGCAGCCGCGGUACUACAGAGGUCUCAAGCGGUGUUCGGAAUCACUGGGCGUAAAGCGUGCGUAGGCGGUUUCGUAAGUCGUGUGUGAAAGGCGCGGGCUCAACCCGCGGACGGCAGAUGAUACUGCGAGACUAGAGUAAAGGAGAGGGAAGCGGAAUUCGCGGUGUAGCAGUGAAAUGCGUAGAUAUCGCGAAGAACACUGGUGGCGAAGGCAGGUUCCUGGACAUUAACUGACGCUGAGGCACGAAGGCCAGGGGAGCGAAAGGGAUUAGAUACCCCAGUAGUC
Molecule: ribosomal RNA, 446 nt
Filed under: uncultured bacterium
Lineage: Bacteria
Description: partial 16S ribosomal RNA
Rfam family: Bacterial small subunit ribosomal RNA
Source: RNAcentral